This is a long non-coding RNA of Lolium perenne, 489 nucleotides long. RefSeq lists it as uncharacterized. The record is from RefSeq and is a predicted model, not a curated record. Lineage: Eukaryota; Viridiplantae; Streptophyta; Magnoliopsida; Poales; Poaceae.
UUCGUUCUCGACAAAAAGGAAAAAACCACUUCACCUUGUUAUAACCAUGGGGGCUAAGAUCGCUGCAACAGUCGUUGCCUUGUUACUACUAACAUUCUGUGUGGAGGCACAGGAUUGCGGCGGACCAAUCCAUACCUUCAAAGACAAAUGCCAAGGGGUCUCAGGGAGGAGGGUCAGAGGUCACCUAGCCACGGGGGAACGAUUUAAUGGACAAACGGUAGUGCCUUCUAAUUAUUUUACCGCCACAUGCAGCGCUGCUUGCAAAGCUGCGAACUUCACUGGCGGAAGCUGCGAGAAUGAUGGUAUAUGCUACUGCCAUUGUUAUGAUGGAGUCCACCCAUCAAAAGAAAGCACCGAGUAACGUGUUGAGCAUGUAGGAGAUGAAUUUCUCCUUCUCAUUGUAUGUUUAGGCAAAUUUUCGGUUUAUGGUCUUACAAUUUAAAGAUUUAUAUCUCAUGAAAAAAUAAAGGAAACAUGAAAUGAUUUUCA